Molecule: small RNA, 121 nt
Filed under: Marmota monax (woodchuck)
Lineage: Eukaryota; Metazoa; Chordata; Mammalia; Rodentia; Sciuridae
Source: RNAcentral
GCUGGGCAUGGUGGCACAUGCCUGUGAUCCCAGCAGCUCGGGAGGCUGAGACAGGAGAAUCAUGAGUUCAAACCCAGCCUCAGCAACAGUGAGGUGCUAAGCAACUCAGACCCUGUCUCUA